This 312-nucleotide long non-coding RNA is filed under the name Carica papaya (papaya). RNAcentral's name for it is "long non-coding RNA (CPAP_LNC015904)". Lineage: Eukaryota; Viridiplantae; Streptophyta; Magnoliopsida; Brassicales; Caricaceae. The record is from RNAcentral.
ACCCACGUACUUGAAGCUCACCAAGUUUGGCGCACAGAUAUUGCCUUCUACAAUAUUGCGACAUUCAUCCACAAUCAGAGUCUUCAAGCUCUUAUUCUCAACGUUAAUCUGCUUAAACCCACGGCACUGACUCAGUUCCAAAGACUGGAGAAGCUCCAUGCCUUUUAUCACUACUUGAAACACCUUAUUGCUGAGGAAAACCCCUCGUCCAAGGUAAAGAGUCUUCAAGCUAGCAAACACCAUUUCUUUCUUUACCCUGAAGCGACCGUUAGCGAGUGCUAACUUGAAAUGCUCAAGAUCUGGAGUGGUUAU